RNAcentral lists this ribosomal RNA (301 nucleotides) under uncultured Thermotoga sp. Its description in RNAcentral is "bacterial SSU rRNA". It matches the Rfam family "Bacterial small subunit ribosomal RNA", at positions 494 to 795 of the family's 1533-position model. The record is from RNAcentral. Lineage: Bacteria; Thermotogati; Thermotogota; Thermotogae; Thermotogales; Thermotogaceae.
CUGGUGCUGUGGACAAGCAUGGUGGAUAUGACGAAGGUGUCUAGCUGUGAUCGGAAUCACUUGGGGUAACGCGUACUGAUUCGGGAACUGAAGUCAGGGGUUGAAUCCCGGGUCUCAGCCUCUGAACUGCCCGUGAGACUUGGUUUCUUGAUGUCGUGAGAGGUGGGUGGAACUUCGAGUGUAGAGGUGAAAUUCGUAGAUAGUCGCAAGAACGCCAGUUGCGAAGGCGGCCAACUGGCCCGAUACUGACGCUGAGGUGCGAAAGCGUGGGGAGCAAACAGGAUUAGAUACCCGGGUAAUC